This 231-nucleotide unclassified non-coding RNA is filed under the name Melitaea cinxia (Glanville fritillary). RNAcentral describes it as "misc RNA ENSMCXG00005010314.1". The record is from RNAcentral. Lineage: Eukaryota; Metazoa; Arthropoda; Insecta; Lepidoptera; Nymphalidae.
AAGUGCAAAGUUCUCAUCAAUAGAAACGAAUUAAGUUCAAACAGCAGGUAAUUGCUAUAAAUUGUUGAAGAGUUCCCUCGACUAUCUUUCUUCUCCAUCAUCAGAUCGACUCCAGACCUUUAUGAAAUAGAAGUGCUUUAUAGUACUUAAUGAAAACAUGAUUAAAUUUACUAGUCACCCUUACAAUUUUUGAAAGUUUCCCUCGAUUUCUCUGGGAUCCCAUCAUCAGAU